This 557-nucleotide ribosomal RNA is filed under the name uncultured Sphingobium sp. RNAcentral's name for it is "bacterial SSU rRNA". It matches the Rfam family "Bacterial small subunit ribosomal RNA", at positions 102 to 694 of the family's 1533-position model. The record is from RNAcentral. Lineage: Bacteria; Pseudomonadati; Pseudomonadota; Alphaproteobacteria; Sphingomonadales; Sphingobiaceae.
ACGGGUGCGUAACGCGUGGGAAUCUGCCCCUUGGUUCGGAAUAACAGUUGGAAACGACUGCUAAUACCGGAUGAUGACGAAAGUCCAAAGAUUUAUCGCCAAGGGAUGAGCCCGCGUAGGAUUAGCUAGUUGGUGAGGUAAAGGCUCACCAAGGCAACGAUCCUUAGCUGGUCUGAGAGGAUGAUCAGCCACACUGGGACUGAGACACGGCCCAGACUCCUACGGGAGGCAGCAGUAGGGAAUAUUGGACAAUGGGCGAAAGCCUGGUCCAGCAAUGCCGCGUGAGUGAUGAAGGCCUUAGGGUUGUAAAGCUCUUUUACCCGAGAUGAUAAUGACAGUAUCGGGAGAAUAAGCCCCGGCUAACUCCGUGCCAGCAGCCGCGGUAAUACGGAGGGGGCUAGCGUUGUUCGGAAUUACUGGGCGUAAAGCGCACGUAGGCGGUUAUUCAAGUCAGAGGUGAAAGCCCAGUGCUCAACACUGGAACUGCCUUUGAAACUAGAUAGCUUGAAUCCAGGAGAGGUGAAUGGAAUUCCGAGUGUAGGGGUGAAAUUCGUAGA